Molecule: long non-coding RNA, 21505 nt
Filed under: Gossypium barbadense (sea-island cotton)
Lineage: Eukaryota; Viridiplantae; Streptophyta; Magnoliopsida; Malvales; Malvaceae
Description: long non-coding RNA (GBAR_LNC000652)
Source: RNAcentral
UUUUCUUGAAAUAAAGAUCGUUCGUUUAAAUAAGUACUAAGCACAACCAGAGGUAAAAUUUAAACUUCACUAAGUAAACAUUCAAAAGAUGCCAUUUUCGCAUGGCUUAUAUACAUUAACCAAAGAUAUUCUUCCGCCACUAGUCUAUUCUAUACAUGCCAUAAGAUAAUCCAAAACGUAGCAGUACCAAACAAUGGAUAGUGAUAGUGUGACUAGUUGCUGAUGAUCCCCGAGCCUGUAGCUUCCAAAUGAGAUCUAUAAAACAGAGGAAACAGAGUAAACGGAGUAAGCAUUACAAUGCUUAGUAAGUUUUAAGCAGUGUCAACAGAUAACAAUCAAAUUAUAACAUAGUUGUUCGUAUAUUUUAUUUCACUCUUCCUUCGGGCAUACCAUCCCUUUUCCGAAUAUGCACAUCUCAUCAUAUACAAUAGGCAGAUAAACUUUCAUAUAAAAGUGAGCUCAUGUGACAUAGAUAUAUCGUAUGAUUUCACAUAACCUCUCACACUGAUCCGAUGUCACAUAAUCAUAGGAAUAGUCUCAUAGAUUGCUCUCUAUGCAUCACAUAACUACCUUAUGAUUUAGUGCAAAUCAAGCUCACAUAUAAACUUGGAGUACAUACCUGUUUAACCAUUCGCAUUGAAUAUAUUUAUAAGCAAUUCUUAUUACGAAGUCUUACUCGGGCAUAAUCUCCACACGAAGUUAUCGGGUCUUACCCGGACAAAAUCCCCACACGUAGUCAUCGGGUCUUUAGAGCUCGGAUAUAGUACGAGCACGAAGCUUACGGACAUUAAUCAGUGAUAAUAUUCUCGCAUAAAGCCUGCGGGGUUUUAACCCGGAUAUAGUGCUGACACAAAUGCCCUUCGGGACUUAUCACAUUUAUACACUUUCACAUCCAUCACGUUGGCCACUCGGCCCUGUCACAUAUAUACACUUUCACAUUCAUCACAUCGGCCAUCAGGCCUUAUCACAUAUAUACACUUUCACAUUCAUCACAUCGGCCAUUAGGCCUUAUCACAUAUAUACACUUUCACAUUCAUCACAUCGGCCAUUAGGCCUUAUCACAUAUAUAUACACUCACAUAUAUAUACACUUUCACAUUCAUCACAUCGGCCAUUAGGCCUUAUCACAUAUAUACACUUUCACAUUACCAACCCUUUUAUUCAUACACAAAUAUCAACUUAGCCAAAGGCCGGUAGCUCAUUUAUCAACUGAGCGAAUACUUAUUUGUAAGGGCUCAACUAAUUCAAAGCACAUACGAAACAUACCUCAAUGUUGGGAUGUUUCAAGCGUAUUAACUGAAAUUUUUACAGCAAGAUCAUUCAUUCCCAAAUCACAUACCUUCGGAAUUUAACCGGAUAUAGCUACUCGUUCAAAUGCCUUCGGGACAUAGCCCGGUUAUAGUAACUCGCACAAAUGCCUUCGGGACUUAACCCGGAUUUAGUAACUCGCACAAAUGCCUUCGGGCUUAGCCCGGAAUUAGUAUCUCGCACAAAUGCCUUCGGAUCUUAGUCCGGAUUUAGUAUCUCGCACAAAUGCCUUCGGAUCUUAGUCCGGAUAUGGUCACUUAGCACAAAGCCUUCGGGACUUAGCCCAGACAUCAUUCAAAUAACCAUGCACAUUUAACAAUAAAUCAUGGCACAUUCGUAUUUCAUUUUCGUUAGCAAAACUCAAACACAAGACACUUAUCAUUCUUGCAAUUUCGGCUCAAUAGCCACACACAAAGAGCAUGAUUUUGAUUUGCUUAAAACAUGAUCUAAUCAAAUCAUAAUUUAAGCUCUAUUACUCAAGAACUUACAAUAUCACGAUUUAGAAUUCAAGUAUGGGUUUAAUCAAUAGCUUGUGAGCAACUAAAACAAGUUUAUCAAGGUUCACAACAUAAUCUCAAAUUCAGCACAAGCUGUUUUUCCUGAGCAAUAGUCACUAAAUUAUUUAUAACUGGAGCUACAAAACUCCAAAUCACUUUCUGUUAAUUUUUCCUGAAUAUAGACUCGUAUAUCUUCCACCCAUAAAAUUUCCAGAAUUUUAGGUUUGGCCAAUCAAUACCAGAUUUUUCUUAAAAUUUCCCCUGUUUCACUGUUUGACUAACCUGACCACCCUUCACUACGAAUCAAAUUUAUCAUUUUACAGAAUUCAAAAUGUGUUGUAUUUGAUUUCAUUUGAAACUAGACUCAUUAAGGAGUCUAAGCAUAUAAAUUUUAUCUUAUAACCAUUUUUUUACAAUUUAUAAUGAUUUUCUAAAAACAGAACAGGGGAUUUCGGAGUCAUUCUGACACCGUCUCACACAACUUUAAAUAUCUCAUUAUCGGAAAUUCCUUUGCUUACACGGUUUCUUUUAUAAGAAACUAGACUCAUUAAGAUUUAAUUUCAUGUCUCAUUCAGCCUCUAAUUCAAGUCCAUAAAUUUAUGGUGAUUUUCUAAAGUCAGGUUACUGCUGCUGUCCGAAGCAGACUAUUUCAAAUUACCCUUAAAUUCCCAAGCUCAAACACUUAAGAACUUACCAUUUGAGCUUAGAACAUAUCAUGGCCACAUCAUAUCUUAUUAAAUCAACUCAUCAUGUCCUAUUAUAAUUGAAUUUACUCAACGUUUAAACACUUAAAACUUACCUCGGAUGUGGUCGAACAAUUUCGGCGGCUAUUCGAUCACUUCUUCCCUUCCCUUAUCCAACUUUGGUCCUCUAAGCUCUUGAGCUUAAUUUAACAAAUAAAUUGAUUUAAUCAUUUGAGCAUCAAAAGAGGAACUCAAGGUACUUAGCCCAUAUAUACAUACAUUAGACAUUAAAGUCACAUACAUAUGAAAUCAUAAAUCAAUUCAACAUAUUAGCCCACACUCUCUUUUAGCCGAUUGUCUAAGCCAAGAUAAAAGCAUCAAUAUGCUUGCCUCUAGCCGAAUACAUGCAACACCAAGCAAGAAUGAUGCAUCCAUGGCCGAGUGUCAUCUUCAUAACUUUACAAAAACAUUUGCCAUGAGCUAGCUUCUCUACUUGGUGGCCACUCCAAAUGUACAAAGAUUUUCAAUGAUAGAGCAUUAACAUACCUUAAUACAUCAAAAUAAUUAAAUUCUUCCCAUGGCACACUAAAACCGAAUAUGUCUUAUUCAAAUAUAAAUUCUCAUAUUUCAUUUAUUUAACCAUUUAACCCUCCUAUCAAAUAAUUUUCACAAACUAAUCUUAAACUCAAAAUCACAUAAAAUCGUAACACAAAAGGCAUUCAUCUAACACUUGAUUUCUAAAUUCUAACAUCAAACUCAAAUUUCUUAGCUCAUCAACUCAUGGCCGAACAUCAAUUAUUCACCAAAACAAAAAUUAACUCAUGGGUUUUAGAGAAAAUUAAGUAAGGAAUUCAAUGAUACUAAAAAUUAACAAAAACAACCUGAAUUUCACCUUGAAUUUUUGCUUCCAAAUGGCCGAAACUUCAAAGCCACAAAUUUUAUUUUCUUUCUCCUUUGUUCGGCCUCCAAGAUGAACUACAUGCAUGUUCUUUUUUUUUUAUGCCCCAUACCGUCCAUAUCAAUUGUCAAGGUUAAAUAUCAUCACAAAUACUCCAACUUACAAAAACAACUUCAAUUCGGCCCUGAAGAUACAAACAUGCAUGGCUUUCCAUUUUAUGUUUUAUAAUACUUAUAAAAAUAAUUAUCUCACAAAUAACUUUAAAAUAAACAUAUAAAGACAUCAUGCAUUAAGCCAUUACCAUCCAUAUAUUUAUUAAUGAUAUAAUUGCCAUUCAAAACCUCAAUAUUCUAAAGACAUAACACUUUAACAUUUUCAUGAUAGCAUGCUUAUUAAUCAAUUGAUGCAUUUUAAUCCUUUUUAAUGACAUAAAGAAAGAAAGAAAAAUAUUUACCAAGAGUUUCAAACUACUUGGCCGAAUAUCAAACCUCCAAACAACCAAAAAAUUUAACUCAUGGAAUGGAUAGAAUUUGAACAAAUCACCAAAAUUAUACAUAAAUUUUCAAGAAUUUCAAAGUACUUACCUCUUUCUAAAUAUUCUCCAAGCCGAAAUCAUACAAAGAAAUUUUUUUCUUCUUUCUAAUCUCAAGUUACGGCAAUGGUAGAGUGAGGAUGAACCAACUUUGUUUUUAUCACCCAUUUCUUUUAAUAUAAGUUCAUAUUUCAUAUUAUUUAUUCAUUUAACAUUUAAUUUAUUAAUAUAAAAGGCAUAUAUUUUGUAUCCCAUGCUCCUUAUUUUAUCAUACUUCCCAUGAAACACUAACUUAACAUGUUUAUGACAUGUUCUUGCCCAUCACACUUGGUCUACCAUACUUGUCAUGGCCGGCCACUACUAAUUAGGGGGGAAAUUGACAUGCAAGUCCCCCCUUUUUAUUUCAUGCACUAAUAGAUCCUUAUGCUUUGACCUAUCACAUUUCAAAAUUUUCUCACAUAAGUCCUAUUUGAUAAAAUUCACUUACUAUUAACAAAAUUCAAACAUGAAAUUUUCACACAUGCAUAUGUACAUAUAAUGAGCAUCAACUAUGAUGGUUAAUUAUCUUUAUGACUCGGUUUAGUGGUCCCGAAACCACUUUCCAACUAGGGUCACUUUAGGGGUGUCACAAUUACUAGCCAUUCCAAUAGCUAGAUUACAAGCAUCAGUAACAUUUACAUGCCAAUAUGGCCAAUAUAUCCUAUACAUGCCAUUACAAUCAUAAUUGAUUUACCAUAAAUAUGCCGAUAUAGGCCAAUGGAUAGUGUGAGUGAUCUCCUCCAAGCUUCCAAUCCAACGAGCUUCCGAUUUACUAUAAAACAGGGAAAUAAAACUAAGUAAGCAUAAAAUGCUUAGUAAGUUCGUAUAACAUGGUACUUAACUUACCAUUCAUUCUAUUUUGAGGUAACUAUGUAAGGCAACAUGGUACUUAACUUACCAUUCAUUCUAUUUUGAGGUAACUAUGUAAGGCAAUCAAUCAAUUUUCCCUCAAGCCCUACACAUAUCCUCAUUGCCCUUGUUAGUCAUAUAUUCCAUAAUAACAUCACAAACAUAUAUGGGCUCAACAACAAUCAAGUUUCCAUGCACAUAUGCUUUCCACAAUAUACAUUCAUUGAACAUGCAUAAUUCAUCUCAUUAUUACAAAUAUAAUUUCAUAAUAGUUCAUUUCGAAUUCAGAUCAUUUCGUAUCAGAACUUUACUCAUAUUACUCAAUGUCAAGAUCACGAUUAGUAUACUCAAGGUGUACAAGUCCAUAAUCAAGAAUGAACAUAUAUUCAUCAAAUAGAGUCCAUGUACAAAUAUCAUCAUCUCAUGUUUUCAUAUAUCAUUUGUCAAGUUUCAUGAUUUUCUUCUAUUUCAGACAAAUACAUGUGAUAACUCAUAUUAUCAUUCAUAUCUUCUCAUGUCUAGAAUUGUCACCCAUUGAAUUUAUUCGAAAUAUCAAUGGAUACGUAGGUAGUACAUUCGAGGUGUACGAAUCAGGAUCCGUUAAUUCAUGUCCAAUAGUACCCAUAAGGUACUAUAUCAGAGAGUACACUCUCGAGCCACACAUGUAUACAACAAGAUUACCAGUCCAAGCUAAAUCAUUUUUAUGUCAUAUGCUCUAAGGAGAUUGAUCUGGAUUACCCGUUCGGGCUAAAUCCAAUCCAUAACAUGUGCUCGAGAGGACUUAUAUUAGGAUUACCCGUCUGGGCUAAAUCCUUUCUGUAAUGAAGUCAAUAGGAUUACUCGUCCAAGCUAAAUCCCGUCAGCAACAAAUGCAGGACCUCAUUCAUUUCGGGAAAUCAUAUAUCCAUCGAUUUUCCAUUUUAUUCAACCAAGAUUUAAACAUUUUUCUCAAGAAUUACUAGCAUGUAUUUAUUUCAUACAUCUACAACAUUCAUGUAAUUCAAAUAAAGACAUUCCACAUUCAUUUCAAGCAUAUAAGUAACAUUCUCAUCGUUUAUCCUUUAUCAUCUAUCAGGCAUUAUCAUUUAAUUUAAACAUUUUUAUUUAUCAAGCUUGAUCGGUUAUGUAGUCAUUUCAGAUAUUUAUGACAUUUAUACAAUCUACAUAAACACAAUCAAUGCAAGGAUGUAAAUAAACACAAUUUAGUUACACGAACUUACCUCGACAAAGGUUCGUGUACAAACAUCUACUAAUCCAACAUUUUCCUCGUUCUAACUCCAAAUUUGGUCUAUCUGGAUCUAUACGAGUAAAUUUAAUAUCAAAUUCACACAUCUCAUAUACAUUUGGACUCAAUUUACAUCCUAGGCAAAAUUACCAUCUUGCCCCUAACAUUUCCAUAAAUUCUCAUUUCGUUCCUAUGCUCGGAAAAUAAAAUUUGUGCAAUUUACUCCCUAUUCCAGGCCUAACCAAAAUCCCAUUACAAAAUUUACAGCACAUGUAUUCAUAAAAAAUUAGAAUUUUUCUUUAAUUCCACAACUUUACAUUUUAGUCCCUAAAUCAUGUUUUCAUCAAAAAUCACUUUAUAAAAGUUUUUUUAUCUAACAACAAUCUUUCAUUCUCUACCAUAAAUUUCUAAUUUUCAGCAAGUAUAUCCAUGACCAAUUUUUCAUACUUUGAUAACUUCUCAAAUUGAUCCCCCAAAUAGAUAGAUUAGACUAUCUCGGUUUCAAAAAUAUAAAAAUUACUAAAACUAGGGCUUGAUUACUUACCCAAGUAAGUUUGAUAAGUCUUCUUCCUCUCUCCUAGGGUUUCCAUGGAAAUAUUUGGGGAAGAUGAUAUGAAAUUGUUUUCUUUUUUUCAUUUAAUUAAAUUGUCAUUUAAUAACUUUUCAUCUUUCUAAUUUAGUCCUUAGCCUUUUUUUAUUUUUCCAUGGAUGAGUCAUACCAAAAUAUCAACAUAUUUUCUUUAAUGGUCUAAUUAUCAUAUAAGGAUCUCAAAUUUUGAAUUCCAUAGCUAUUUAAUCCUUAUAGCUACUAAAAUUCAACUUUUGCAUUUUAUGCGAUUUGGUCUUUCUCGUAAUUAAGCACAUAAUCGGUAAAAUUUUCUUAUCAAAAUUUUCACAUGACAUUUCUAUCAUAUUACGGAACAUGCAAUAAAAUAAAAAUAAAUUUUAUUUUUGGCUCGGAUUUGUGGUCCCAAACCACUGUUCCUAUUUCACUGAAAUUGAGCUGUUACAGGGCUAAGACACACGCCCUUAUCUUAGACCGUGUAGACAAAAAUAGACCAUUCUCAAGUCAUUUCCUCACCCAAAACUUGGUCACUUAUACAAUCCAAAUGCACCUAUUUUCAUGCAUCCAAAUUGUACCUAACAGAUGCAUAUUCAAGCUAGAUCAUCAUAGAAUUUAAUUAUACAACCAAUAUGCCUAAAUGGCACCUCAAUCACAACAAUCAAACUUGAUUAUACAUUUACUAAGUUUAGCCAUUUUUCUACUCAAUACUCACUGCCUAUUUCCAUAUCAAACCAUACCUCAACGAAAACCUUCAAGCAUAUCAAAACAACAUUUCAUAGCAUGCAUUUAACCUACCAUUCCAUCAUUCACCAUUUAAGUACCAAGAUGCCAAAAUGUCAACAAUUAUAACAUCACAUUUACAUGCCAACAUAACAACCUAUUCAUCAAUCAAAGUCCCAAAUUUACACAUUUCAUCAAACACAAAAACACCUAUACAUGCCAUUAUAACCAUGACUCAAAAUCAUCAAAAUCUACUGAUAUAGCUGAUGGAUAAUGUGAUGGAUCUCUGACUAGCUUCCAACCUGAUUGAGCUUCCGAUAAUCUGUAAGGUAAAAGAGAUACUACGUAAGCAAUGAAUGCUUAGUAAGCUCAUAUAAACUUUAGGCAUAAUAUUCAAUUUUGAUAAUAAACUUUAUAGAAUAAACAUAAAUCUAUGCCAAUUCUAUAAGAUUCAUAAAUCGAUAUGAUCAUCAACUCAUAAAUGAGUAAGUUUAUUAAUGUUUCAUAUUUAUUGAUCAUUCAUAACAUGAUAGGAUUUCAUGAGACAUGAUAUAAAAUCAUCAACCUAUUAUAAGAUUAUUUAUCUUUCUAUUUACUUACUUUCCAUUUUGUCCCCAAUGCUUAUCAUAAGCCUAAACAACAUUACUUUCCAUGACAUAGGUGCAUUCAUUCAUAGCAUAAGCAAUUUGGUCACACAUAAUACAUCCCAAUUACGUACUUACUGUUUCAUUACCUUUUCUUACCUAUUUCAUAUGCAUAGUACAAGCAUAAUUAUAAAUAUCAAUCAUAUCCACAAGUUUGGCAUAAGCCCUAGCACAUCAACAACACAUUCAUAUGAAUUUGACAUGGAUAACCAUUAUACUUGAGUAUGAUUCAAUUGGAUUUAUCAUCCAUCACAACAUAUCAUGUUUUUCCAUGUAUCACCAUUCCAUUGAGUUUCAAUAAACAUUCCUUAUUUCUUAUUGAACACUUAACAUUUCAUUUGCAUACACAUAAGACAUAAACAUAACAUUAACCAUAGCCACAAGCUAGUGAUUAAACACAUACCUUAGCAAUAUCAUCACAUGGUAAGAUAUGAUACAUAACAUAUCAUCACUUAUAUCAUACCUUUCAUCAACAUGAAUAUUCAUACUUUGAUCAUUGGUACAUCAUACCUUUCCGUAUUUUUCAUAGUAAAGACAAUCAGAACCCUUACCAAAGCUCACACAAAAUGUGCUAAAUGAUGGUUGUAAACGUCCCUUUUCAUAUUUAAUGGUCGAAACCAUCCCUUUUCAUAAAUCGAUCUUUUCAUAGUUGAUGGUCAUCACCACCCCUUUUCAUUAAUCGAUAGCCGAAGCUAUCCCUUUUCAUAAUCGAUAGCCGAAGAUAUCCUUUUUCAUUGGUCGAUGAUCGCCGAUACACUGUUGAAUUUUUAUAUCGAGGUAUAAUUUGAUAUUAAAAAAAUGGUAGCAUUUAAAACAUAAUUUAAAAUGAUAUUUAAACGUACGAACUUACCUGGCUAAAUUGCAUAAAUGUCAAAGUAUAGGGGCAUUUUCGUAAUUUUCCAUUCUCUUCGAUUUUUCACUUGAUCUUGAUCUAAAUUAGUAAUUUUAUUAAAUCUAUUAAUUUAGAUAGUACAAUAAUGUAUUUUAUGCAAUUUAGUCAUUUUUGACCUUUUACCAAAAUUACCCCUAAAAUUUUACUUUUAUUCAAUUUAGUCUCUAAGCCUAAAACAUGCAAAUUAACCAUUUUUACCCAAAAUUGUGCCUAGCUGAAUACUCCUGGAAUCUAAUACAGCCCAUUAUUGCAACAAUUUCACAUCAAGUCCUUAUACUUUUACUAAUUUAACAAUUUAGUCCCUAAUCAAAGAAUUCAUCAAAGAUCACUUAAUAAAAUACUUUUAGAUAACAACUAAUAUCUCAAAUUCAUCAUCUAACAUCUAAAAUCACAAGGUUCAUCAAUGGAAACAUUCAAAAUCUUUAACAGUUUCAAAAUCGAAGGUGCGGGCUAGCUGGACCUAAUUGCAAUAAUCUCAACAACAUCAAAAUUAUCAAAAACGAGUAAGAAUUUCAUACCAUGGAUGAGGAAUUCACUAUAGCCGAACCUAACUUCAUUUCCAUGGACAUUUAGUUGAACUUGGAGAAGAAAACCAAAAGGAUGAUGAUAAUUUAACAUUUUGUUUUCUUUUAAUUAAUUAAUUAUAAAAUCUACAAUUUUGUCCACUUAAUAUCAUCCAAUUUCAUGCUUUUAGUUGCCCAAAACCGUCCAUUAAAACCCUAAAUGGUUUAAUUACCAUUUAAGUCCCUUUUCCUUUAUUUAAUUAACCAUUUAAUCACUCAAAUCAAAUAGCAAUCAAAUUUUACAUCUUUUACGAGUCCUUUAUAAUUAAUUAACUAUCGAAACGUUAAAAUUUUUCAACAAAACUUUAAUACCACCUAAUGACACUCCAUAAAUAUUUAUAAAAAUGUUUACAGUUCUGUUUAUAGAAACGAGGUCCCGAUACCUCAUAUUCUAAAACCACUUGACCUUAAGGUCUUACCACUUGAACUUAAUAAAUUGCUUAAAUAACAUAAAUUAUCAAAUCAAAAACCUUUUCAAAGUCACAUUUGACUCGUAAAAUUUAAAUGAUAAUAUUUACAAACUUACUUGUCAGAUUUGGUUGCCCCAACACCACUGUUUUCGACACCACUAAAAAAUGAGCUGUUAUACAAGGAAUCCUUAAUAUUGUUGUGGGUAAGCUGAUAGAAUGGAACGAUAGUGUUGAAACUAGGAUGAAAGGUAUGAAGGAAGAAAAUGAAGCUAUGGUGAUGGAUUUAAAGGAGGAAACUAAUGUCACGACAAGGGAUUUAAGCAGAAAAAUUGAGGAGCUCAAGGGAGAGCUUGCUGUAUGUCGAGCUACCAUAGGUAAAGGGAUGUUGAGUGUAAUACUAAAUCGAGAGAUUGAUGUCCCUAAACCAAAGAAGUUUUAAGGGGAAAAUUUUGCAAGGGGAGUGGACAACUUCUUGUUGGAGAUGGAGCAAUAGUUUCAUGUCGCGGGCAUCAAGGAUGAUGAUGCUAAGGUAAAUAUUGUUUCUUGAUAUUUUAUUGAUUUUUCUCUUCUUUGGUGUAAGCGUAGGUCUAUAGAAUAAAAACAUGGUUAGGCCACAAUUGAGACUUAGGAGGAUUUCCAAGAAGAGUUCAAGGAGCAGUUUUACCCCAAAUAUACCGAGAAAGCUCAGGCUAAGUUGUGUCAAUUUUCGUAUAAAGGUACAAUUUGGGAGUUUGUAAAAGAGUUCAAUAAACUAAUGCUCAAAAUUAUGAAUCUGAGUGAGAAGGAGGAAUUUUUCUUUUCCAUGGAUGGUUUUGAAGUUUUGGGCUAAGCAAGAAUGGGAAUGUCAAAGGGUCUUAGAACUGUCCAAAGCUAUGAUCGUGGUAGAGUCCUUAAUUGAGCUUGUUUCAAGGAAAGAUAAGUUUGAGUCUUCCAAGCCCAAGGGGAAAGGAAAUGGUGACAAAGAAGAAGAAGGACAAGUCAAGAAUUGAAACAACAGUGCUGACAAUAAGAAACCAGGGAAGAGGAAACCCAACAGUAAACUGAAAGGGACAUUGAAAUGCAUCCUUUGUGAAGGUCUGUAUAUGGUAAGGGACUAUCUGAAGCAGUCUGUGUUUUUUUCCAUCAAAUAGGGUGAUAAGCAAGAAAAAGAACCAAUGAGGCUUGGUUGAUCGUACGUAGGAUCAAAGCUAAGAAGGGGAAAUAGAGUGAGAAGAAAUUAGUGAAGUGCUCCUUGUGUCGUGGUUCACAUAUGAUGUGGGACUGUCCAGAAUGAUCCAAGACUUCUAUGGUUAGUAAAGAAGUGGAAGGGGAUCUAAAGAGUGAGGCUUUGAAGCUUAGGUCAAUGAUACUUAAUUCUGCAAAAGCGAAAAGGGAUCGUAAGCAGAAAGGGUUAAUGUAUAUGGACAUAAACAUUGCAAGUCAGAGGAAAAGUGCUCUUAUUGAUACAGGAGCAUCAGACCUAUUCAUAUCAAGAAAAGACAUGGGUAAACUUGGUCUCUCAAUUAGGAAAUCAACUAAGAAGAUUAAGACUGUUAAUUCCAAAAAGGUCCUAAUAGUGGAAGUAGCACAAGGAGUUGAGUUGUAGAUCAGUCAAUGGUAAAGCAAGGAAGAAUUUGAGGUAAUUCACUUGGAUAAUUAUAGUUUUGUUCUUGGCUUAAAUUUCCUUAACAAGAUUAAUGCUCUUUUGGUUCUUUUUUUUACUGUAUAUGCAUCCUAGAUACUCAACACAACAAUGUGUUGUGUUGAUGAGUCGAGAUAAGAGGGGAAAACUAAGGUAUUGUCGGCAAUCCAACUAGCUAAUGAUGUUAGUGAGGGAAAUAAUAUUGACUCGGUAGAUCGAAUGAGUUCUAGGAAGACCCCCCUAAGAAAUGAUAUAGGGGUGAUAACUAUUGAAAAGAGUUAUAUUUUAGGCAUCUAGACUUGGUUAAUUGUUCAUAGUUGAUUAAAUUUAGUUGCACUUUAGGAAAUUAUAUUAAUAUUUUAUAACAUUACAUCAUAAAGCUUGGAUUUUACUUUCAAUGUCACUAUAUAUUACUUUUACUUGUGGGAGGAAAGGAAUUGCGUGUUGUUUAUAACAAGUGUAGAAAGAAGGAAAAGAAGUGAAUGAGUGAAGUUUUUUCAUGACAAAAGGUUGGACAGAUUGUCAGCACAAAUGCCAUGAAAAUUCCAAAAACAUGCUGACUCAACUAUCAAUCCGUACCUCUCAGCCAGUUGUACUUGUACCAGAAAUAUCCACCUGAAAAGGAGGAGAAAGAAGUGUGCAUGAAAGGUGGACCUACCCUAUAAAAAAAGAAAGAGAAAGAGAAAAGAGAGCAGUUUUCCUCACACAAAAAUUAUUGUGAGAGAUUUAGAGACGCAAGAAAAGUGGGUAACAGCUAAAGAACAGAGCAACAAUGCAAGGAAGAAGGAGAGCAAUCAACCUUGGGCUCGCAAGAUAUUGCAGCACUGGAGUUGAAGGCUAGGUUGGCGAAAGCUUCCUAAAGUUCUUCCUUCAUUUUUUAAUUGAUUUCUGGGAGGAAAUAUGUUGUUUAAUGAAACUUUUAUUUUGGAUUUUAAUUUCCAACUCAUGAGCUAAUCUCAUCAGAUUGGGAUUACUGAAUGAAUCUUUAGUUCCUUUAAUGAUCAAGGCAUUAUCCUGAUUUGAUUUACUGUUUCAUUUGAUUUGCAUUAUUUUACAAUGUAUGCAUGUAAUCUCUAGACAUAGAUGAACGCAUGGUAUGUUCAUAAACAUUAUUUAAUUCUAAAAAGGUUAGACGAGUUGGAUUGUGAUCGAACGAUACAAGAGAGUACUCGACAGAGUACUCGUAGCACUCUAGACAUAGAGUUGCACUUUGUACAGAGAAAUGAAGAAACAGUGCUGGGUAUCCUUCUUAAGGCUUGUAGACAUGCAAAGCCUUUUGUACGGUAGCUUGAAGUCUGAGUCUCGAAAGAAGUAGACUACCUAGAUUUAAUCUGAAUAGUAGAUUGGUUAAGAUUUUUCCAUGGCAUUAUUGUGUUAUGAGGAAAGAACUUUAGUAAUCCCAGCCUUUCCAUUCAUCAGCGUAGAUCCCCUCAACUUUGUCCUUGCAUCUUUGCCCCAUCAUUUUGAGUUAGUUAUUUGAUUUUAAUAUUGCAUAUGUGAUUAUUCAUCCACAAGUUGUUAUUCUGUUUUGCCAUAGCCUGAUUCAUAUAGCUUAUAGUAAUAGCUUAAUCGAAUUAAUCCUAUAAGAUCCCUAAGGAGACAUCUUACUUACUAUUUUAUUACUUGAUUUGACAUGUAAACUUGCAGCUUCGCAUAUAUAUUCACACACAACGAGGGGCGACAAACUAAAAUGAAACCUAUUGAGUUAUCAGUGGGCUACUGAUCUACCGUAAUUAUGUGUAGUAGAUUAAACUCAUUUUCGCAUUGAGGAGCUUGAAUACAAGAAUUUUUUUUAUUUCAGUUGAGUUUUUAAAAUUUCAAUUUCAUUUAAUAAAGUGUGAUUUAAGUCUUUUAUUGACCUUAGGAACCGAAUGAGGCUUAAAGGUGAGUUAAAAUACUUGUUGAGUGUGCAGGAGACCAUUAGAGGGCGUACCAACUCAAUAUUGGUCAUUGUGUUGAAACACAGGGAAUGUGAUACCGCAACAUAGGGAGUAAAGAGCAAGAAUUCCAAGACUACCUUCAAUGUCGCGACACAACCAAGCGAUGUCGUGACACACCCCUGAAUCUACCCUGAGUACAAGCAUAUUACCUUCGAUGUCGCAACAAAGGCACUAGGCUAUAUCGACAUCGGUCAUGUACGAGAAAUACUUACAAGCUAGGGGCAUUUUGGUCUACACAAUCAAAUAUUAAACACGAGAACUUAGCUGACCUAGGGUUGAGGACGACGACAACCCUAACUCUAUAAAUAGACUCAUUUAAGACUUGGUAUGGACAGCUUUUUAUACUGUAUAAUUUUCUUUAUAGUUUAUAUUUUUAGUUUUUCCCUUUCUUUAGGCUUUAGGUUAUUUUUAGUUUUGCAUUUUUCGAGAGAUCUGUUUUGUGGAAUUUGAUCAACUCUUUGUGGAUAUCAUGCUUCAAUUAAAUACAAUUCAGUAUUCUCUUAAAAUUUUGUCUCUUGAUUUGUUCUUACAUCAAGUUCAUUAUGUUUUUGAGAUCCAUGAGGAACAAAUCCUCUUAUGUGGGAGUAGCGAGUGGAGGUAUGAUUAGUUGAUUGUUGUGCAAGGUUUCUUAGCGGAUCAGCUAUUUGGGAGAGGAAGAAUUUUAACCCUUGGCUUAACGACCCUAGGAAGUCAUCUAGGUGGGAUUAACCCAAAAUUGGUAUGGCCUAUCCGUGAACACCUUUAUUGUAACACCCCUAACCCGUCUACAUCGCCAAAUUAGGGUUACGGAACGUUACAUCAUGUUUAGAAACAUUUAACUUCAAAUAGAAACAAUUAUUCAAAUUAAUUACAAAAAUACAAAUACUUAAUUCUUUUAUAAUAUAAAUACACUUACGGGCCUUAAACUAAGCCUACGGGGCCCUAAAAAUGGUUAAGGAACAUUCCGAGGCUAAUUUGAAACAAAAUAGGAAAUUUUUGAAAAAUUGAAAAAUUUUGGAAAUAAGGUUUGUAACAGCCCGAUUUAGACCCUACUCGGAAUGGUGGUUUUGGGACCACAAAUCUGAGUUAGAAAAAUAUUUAAAAAUUAUUUUCAGUGUUUAUUAUGUGUGAAUUUAUAUGUGUGAAAUUUUCGUGCUUUAAUUUUAUCAUUUGAGUGCCGAUUUAAUUAAAAUGACUUAAUCGCGUAAAAUGAAAAUUUAAUGAUUAAAUGUGAAUGAUGCCUAAUUGAUAUUGUCUUUACAAUAUGAAGUACUAAUGUUGUAAUAAGGCCAUUUAUUAUAUGUGUGGACGGUUUUAGAUAUGUUAUAUAUGGUUUUCUAAUUAAACUUUAAAGGUUAAAUAUGUAAAAUAGUAAAUAAUAUAUAUAAUACAUUAUAACAUAAUUAAAAGCCAUGUGAAUGUGUUCAUACUUUUGACCGAAAGUAAAAAAAGAAAGAAAGAAAAGAAAGCUUUAGGUAUUCGGCACUUUGGAAGCUUAAUCAAGGUAUGUAACUAGCUCGAUUUUUGAUAAUUUCUAUGUUUUUGAGAUUGUUCCUUCAAGUACUACAAAACCCAUGCUUGAAUUUUUUUAUUUUGAUGAAUAUUUUGAGUUAUUCCAUUGAUGAGAGCUUGUGAUUUUUGUUGUUUGAUGAUGAAAUAUGAAAGAUAUGUUUUAUAUUAACAUGUUUUGUAUUGGAGUUUUUGAUGAUUUUGAGUAGUUAGGACUAAAUUGAAAAAAUAAUAAUUUGAGGGACUAAUAUGUGAGAUAAAUGAAAUAUAUGGAUUUUUUUGAGAGUGGGUAAAAUUCGGCUCAACAUGGGUAUGCUGAAAUUUUGUGUACUUUGUGUUUUGUGCAAUAGGGACUAAAUUGUAAAAAGUGUAAACGUUAGGGGUAAAAUGGUAAUUUGUCCAUUUAUGUGUUUUUGGAGUAAAUUGAAUGAAAUUAUAUUGAAUUAGUUUAUUUUGAAUACAUUUAGAUCAAGAACCAAAGAAAUCAGAUUUGAAUAGGAGGAAAAACUAAAAUCGUCAAUUAAUCGUCCUGUUCCGAUUAUUGUUGUCUGAGGUAAGUUUACAAGCAAAUUGUAACACCCCGUGCCCGAGACCGUUGCCGGAGUCGAACAUGAGGUGCUGACCGACUUAGUUCAUUUUAAAAAUUUCCAGACAGCUGGCUAACUGUGUCGCUGUCACCUUAAAAAUCAUAUCUUGAGUUCCACAACUCGAAAAUCAGUUUCGUGAUUUUUCCCUGAAACUAGACUCAUAUAUUCAUCUACAAUUUUUUUUCUAUAAUUUUUGGUCAGGCCAAUUAGUACAGUUUAUUAGUUAAAGUCUCCCAUGUUACAGGGAUCGACUACACUGACCUUUGCGCAUUACGACUUGGAUAUCUCCCUGUACAGCACUUCAAUGCUGAUGCCGUUUGUUUCUAUAGAAACUAGACUCAAAUAGGAAUCUAUAAAUAUAUGGCAUGACUCCUAAUUAUAUCUGGUUAAUUUAUAAUGAAUUUCCAAAGUCGGAACAGGGAAUCCAGAAACUGUUCUGGCCCUGUUUCACGAAAGCCUAAAUAUCUCUUAACAUACAACUCAUAUGACCCGUUUAGUUUCUUCCAUAUGAAAGUAGAUUCAUCAAGGUUCAUUUACAUAAUUUAUUCACUAUUUAAUUCCAUUCCUACUAUUUUUAGUGAUUUUUCACAUCCACAUCGCUGCUGCUGUCAGCAUCUGCCUUUAAGGUAGACUUUACCUAUUUCAUAGUUUCCAUGAUUCAAUUAGCCCUUUUUUUUUUUUUGCAUACAUAGCACAAAGUAUAAUCAUGAUUAACCAUUCCAAUGGCUAAUCGUUUCCAAACAUUUCCAUACCUCUUAGUGAUCAACAUACAAAACGAUUAUAGUACUAUGCUAAAAACGUAUAUAAGCCAUUUUCGCAUGGCUAUACAAAUUUACACAAAAUCCAUGGGUACAUGACCAACAACAAGAAGGGUAGUCCUAUACAUGCCAUUUUAAAGUUCAACCAAAAUUGUACCAAAAGGGGGCUUUGAUAGUGUGGGAGACUUCGACUUCCAAAAAUCCCGAGUCUGAUAGCUGACGAGCCAAAAUCUAUAAAACAGAGAAACAAAGAAACGGAGUAAGCAAUUUAUGCUUAGUAAGUUUUGAGCAAGGGGUUCUAGCACAACAAAAGUAUAGCAUUCAUAUAGCUAAACGGAUAAUUUCAUAUGCACAAAUUCUCAAUAUCAUACUUACUUCACAUUACCAACCCUUAUGUUCAUACACAAAAGAUCAACUUAGCCAAAGGCCGGUAGCUCAUUUAUCGACUGAGCGAAUACAGAUUUGUAAGGGAUCAACUAAUUCAAAGCACACACGAAACAUACCUCAUCGCUGGGAUUUUACGAGCGUAUUAAUUUAAAUUUUUACAGCAAGAUCGCUCGUUCCCAAAUCAAGCAUCUUCGGGGUUUAGCCGGAUAUAACCACUCGCACAAGGCCUUCGGGUCUUAACCCGGAUAUGGUCACUAGCAUAAAUGCCUUCGGGACUUAGCCCGGAUAUAGUCGCUAGCACAAAUGCCUUCGGAUCUUAGUCCAGAUGUAGUCGCUUAGCACAAAAGCCUUCGGGACUUAGCCCGGAUAUCAUUCGAGUAACCAUGCACAUAUAUCAAUAAAUCAUGACACAUUCAUAUUUCAUUUUCAUUACCAAAGCUCAAACACAAGACACUUAUCACAUUUACAAUUUCGGCUCAAUAGCCACAUACAAGAGCAUGAUUUUGAUUUACUUAAGACAUAAUCUAAUCGAAUCAUAAUUUAAGUCCCAUUACUCGAAAACUUACCUCGGAUGUUGUCGAACGAUUCCGAUGGCUAUUCGACCACUUUUUCCUUCCCUUUAUCGGAUUUAGUUCCCCUUUGCUCUUGAGCUUAAUUUAACAAAUAAAUUGAUUUAAUCAUUUGAGCAUCGAAAAGAGGAACUCAAGGUACUUGGCCCACAUAUAUCCAUUAGACAUUAAAGUCACAUAUGUACAGAAUCAUGAAUCAAACUCAACACAUUAGUUAAUACUCUCCUUAGCCGAAUUUUCUAAGUCAAGAUAAAGCCUUCAAUAUGCUUACCUAUGGCCGAACAACACAUCAACCUAUGUACUCAUUCAUGUGGCCGAUUAUGCAUGUCUAUGUUGAGGCCAAUUGUAUACUCAAUACCACACACAAAUGGCAUACCUUUUACUAACUAAUGCAUUACAUAUUAUAACUCAAUACGCAUCCAUCAUGUACUCCAUAACCGAAACACCAUCAUAUGUAAAUAUAUACCUUGAGAUAUUGUAUAUGUCAUACCAAUACGUCAUGUGCAAACAUAUAUAUAUGUGCAAGAGCCGAAUCUCAAAGUUGAUUAUAACUAAACAUGAACAUAAAUCCAAAACACAAAUCUUACCUACCAUGCAAUAAGCAUAAAUCAUACUUAUGGAUAUACCAUGGCCGAAUACAUCACAACACCAUACCAUUUCAAUUUUGGUCAUGGUUAAACAAAGAACUUAAUGUCUCACUCAAAAAUGCUAAAAAGAAAAUCCAAGAGUCAUCAAUCCACCAUCACAUGUAUCAUUAACAAGCUUCAUAUUUAGCAUGUAAUGGCAUUAACACAAAAUCCACCUAGGCUGAAUAUCAUCCCCAUGACAUAGCAAAGAUUUGAACCAUGGGCUAAUUAGAACUCAAGCUAGCAACUAAAAACAUGCAUGAAUCUCAUGGCACAACCUCAAACAUACCUUAAUCUAGAUACAAGUAUGGUCAAACCUCCUCCUAAUCCUCUUCCAAACCAAACAUGAAGCAAGAACUCCUUCCUUCUUCCUUAGAAUUUUCGGCCAAAAGAAAUGAAAAAGGAUGAACAAAAUUUUUUUUCUUUUCUCCAACUCACGGCAAUGGGGGGGGAACACUCACACACAUUCCUUUUUUUUGUUUUCUUCCUUCCAUUUCUUAUUAGUUUAUUGCCCAUGCUUCUUAUUUUAUUUUUCCAUUAACACAACAUGUUUCAUGACAUGUUUUGCCCAUCAUCCCUUGUCAUGGCCGGCCACUAGUACUUAAAUGGGGGGAAAUUGACAUGCAAGUCCACCCCUUUGAUUACAUGCACUAUUAGGCCACUUGCAUUUGCCUAGCACAUUUCUAAAUUUUCUCACAUAAGUCCUAUCAACUAAAUUCACAUGCAAUUAACUAAAUCGAAGCUUAAAACUUUCACACAUUUAUAUUCACAUAUUUUAGGCAAUAAUUAUCACAUUCAAAUAAUUUGGUGACUCGGUCUAGCGGUCCCAAGACCGCUUUCCGACUAGGGUCACUUUAGGGCUGUCACACAAAUAAACAUAGUUAUUUUUUAAUAAAAAUAAGUUACAUGUGCUGAAUUGAUAUAUUGGAGAAUGUAUAAAUGAUAGACAAAUAUGUGUACACUUGGGAACUAUGUUUACGAUUCGAUUCGACCAAAAUUUGACGUCCGAGAAGUCCCGUACUAACCUUAGGAAUAGCUUGGAUACAUAUGUCAUGACAUAGGAUUUCCGAUAUGUGUUCUCGUGUAAGGCCACGUCUAGGACGUUGGCAUCGAUAUGUGUUUUCGAGUAAGACCAUGUUUGGGACAUUGGCAUCGUAAUUGUGAUUUGUGUAAGACCUUGUCUGGGACAAUGGCAUUGACAUGUGAUUACAUGUAAGACCACGUCAGGGACGUUGGCAUUGUACAAUUUGUGUUAUAAUCUGAGCAUUCUUUUUAAUUCCGAAUGGUUCAACGGGCAAGGAUAAGUUACGAAUGAAUGUGGAAACAAGUUAAAAUGAACAGGUAUGUGACAAUUUAUUACCUUUUCGGAUAAAAGGUAAGUUGAUUAUUUGAUAUGUGAUACAAGUUAUAUAUGAAGUUAAUGGUAGUGAUUGAAUAUAUGAAAAUCUAUAUGUGGAUUAAUGUACAAGUAUGUGAUAUUAAUGUUUGAUUUUUGAGCUUAUAUUCAGCCUAAUGUUACAUGAAGAAUAAAUUGAAAUGCGAAAUUCAUAUUGAUAUUAAAGGAUUUAUGUGCAUUCAAUUAGUAGGUAUUUGAAAUGUGAACCUUAGAACGUGUUUAUAGGGAAGUAUAUAUAUAUUCGGAAAAAUAAGGUCUAUGUGAUAUUAAACAUGUUAAUGAAGCAAUGUGUGUUUGGAAAUGUUAUAAUUUAUGUAUAGAUAAAUUUUUGGUAAUUAAAUUUCAUAAGUAUGGCUUGGUUAUGCCUUAACAAAUUAUCAAUGCCAUUGAGAUAAUAUUUGAAUUAAGAAUUGAGCUAUGAAUGAAGUGAAUGAAACCAUAAGUUUAAGUAUAUGAUUGGUCAUAUUCGGUUUAAUGAUAUAUAUAUGUAUGAUAUGGAAAUGUGAAUUUCAUACUUAUACCAAAUUUUAUAUGUGCAUUUGUUUAUAUGGUAAUUGAAUGUGAAAUUAUGACUAAGGAAAUGUGAAUUGUAUAAAUGUAUUAUGAUAGUAUGUAUUCGAUCAAGUGAAAUUUUUAUUGAUAUUGAGUAUGAAGGAUGAUUUUGGACAAAGAACGAAUGCAUAUUUGGAAAAAACUUAAUUCAUGUUUAGUUAUAUGUGGAUAUUUGAAUUUACAAGUAUGGUUUGGUUAUGUCUUAUUAAAUUAUUAUUGUUAUUGAGUUAAUGUUUGCUUAUGACUUACUAAGCUAAGAUAGCUUAUUGUGUGUGUGUAUUUUUACUUCUAUUUAUAGAUUUUGGAGACUAGUUGCAGGCUCGGGGAAUUUCAGCGAACUCUAUCACACUAUCGACUGCUUUCGGAACUUUUAAAAGUUGAAUUAGAAACCUAUGGCAUGUAUAGGCUAUACUACUUUUGGAAUAUGGUAGAAGUUGUAACACCCCGUACCCGAGACCAUUGCCGGAGUCGGACACGAGGGGUUCACAGACUUUAAACCCCUUAUAAAAAUAAUUUUCCAGACACUGCCCAAUCUGCGUACUAGUCGCUUUAAAAAUCAUAUCUUGAGUUUCACAACUCAAAAAUCAGUUUCGUGAUUUUUCCCUGAAACUAGACUCAUAUGCCCAUCUACGUAUUUUUUUCUAGAAUUUUUGGUUGGGCCAAUUAGUACAGUUUAUUAGUCAAAGUCUCCCAUGUUACAGGGAUCGACUACACUGACCCUUGCGCAUUACGACUUGGAUAUCUCCCUGCACAGAGCUUCAAUACUGAUGCCGUUUGUUUCUAUGGAAACUAGACUCAGAGAGGAAUCUAUACAUAUAUGGCGUGACUCCUAAUUAUAUCUAGUUAAUUUGUAAUGAAUUUCCAAAUUCGGAACAGGGAGUCCAGAAACCGUUCUGGCCCCGUCUCACGAGAACCUCAAUAACUCUUAACAUACUGUCCAUAUGAUCGUUUCGUUACUUUCCUAUGAAAAUAGAUUCAUUAAGGUUCGUUUACAUAAUUUAUUAAUUAUUUAAUUCCAAUCCUACUAUUUUUAGUGAUUUUCCAAAUCUACUUCACUGCUGCUGCCAGCAUCUGCCUUUAAGGUAGACUUUACCUACUUCAUAGUUUCCAUGAUUCAACUAGCCCUUUCAGCAUAAAUAGCACAAAUUAUGAUGGUGAUUAACCAUUCCAUACCAAAUGAUUAUAACAUUAUGCUCAAACAUAUAUAAGCCAUUUUCGCAUGGCUAUAUACAUUAACCAAAAUAUUCCUCCGCCACUAGUCUAUUUUAUACAUGCCAUAAGAUAAUCCAAAACAUAGCAGUACCAACAGUGGAUAGUGAUAGUGUGACUAGUUGCUGACGAUCCCCGAGCCUGUAGCUUCGCAAUGAGAUCUAUAAGACAGAGGAAACAGAGUAAACGGAGUAAGCAUUACAAUGCUUAGUAAGUUUUAAGCAGUGGCAAUAGAUAAAAAUCAAAUUAUAACAUAGUUGUUCGUAUUUUUAUUUCACUCUUCCUUCGGGCAUACCAUCCCUUUUCCGAAUACGCACAUCUCAUCAUAUACAAUAGGCAGAUAAACUUUCACAUAAAAGUGAGCUCAUGUGACAUAGAUAUAUCGUAUGAUUUCACAUCACCCCUCACACUGAUCCGAUGUCACAUAAUCAUAAGAAUAGUCUCAUAGAUUGCUCUCGUAUGCAUCACAUAACUACCUUAUGAUUUAGUGCAAAUCAAGCUCACAUAUAAACUUGGAGUACAUACCUGUUUAACCUUUCGCAUUGAAU